CCAGGGAAACCCAAACACAGUUAUGGCGGUCCUUGAGGUUUCCUGAGGCGCCAUUAACAAAACCAUCGCCACCCGCCUCUUUUCCUGCGCUGUGGGCCUAGCUGAGAGGCUGGGAGACAUCUCUGAGGCGAGGGAAAGAGGAGGAGAGCGACGGAGAACGACGACGAGGACCUCGCCUCCCUGAGUGGCUGCUGCUGCUGCCCCAGGGCCGCCAUUUUCCUUGCUCCAGUCUCCUCCUCUUUCUCCCUCUGCCUUGGUGGAGCAGAGAGGCUUUGGGGUCCAUAGGAGGGUCCCUGGCCUGCUUCCCUCCCUCCCUCCCUCCCUCUGCCCUCUCAAGUGCCCAGAGACAUUCAGCACCACGAUACUGGUGACUAGUCAGCUGAAAUCAUUUUUCUUACCAAAACUUGUAACAGUAUGUUCAAAAAUGAAUAUCAGGGUGGCCCAUUUGUUGAAAUCUUCAGUGCUCAAGGCAAGAAUCCUGGAAACAAGUGGAAAGUUUUUGGCAGUCCAUCUGUAAUUGGGAAAGAGUUUGACAAGGAGGUGAAAAGCUUCGUCUUUGUUCUAGAAGGGAGAAGUCAAACUAAUAAGAUGCAGCUCCCAAAGAAAACAAGGCAAACAC
Molecule: long non-coding RNA, 619 nt
Organism: Sceloporus undulatus (fence lizard)
Lineage: Eukaryota; Metazoa; Chordata; Lepidosauria; Squamata; Phrynosomatidae
Exons: 4
Source: RefSeq, a predicted model, not a curated record